UUCUUUGCCCAAAAACAUCCCAGCUACUUGACAUUCCAGACUCAUUGCACCUCGGCAGUCUCGCCUGUCGCUAGCACAGGCAGCCAGCGAGCAGACGCGCAUCCUGUGGGGAAAACUCGCCGCACUUACGUAAAGUGAUGAAGUGAAGGAGACUCUGACAUUUGCCGAGUAGAAGGAGCUGUCGGUCCUCUGAAAAUGACUUGUAUCCUAAACAUUGAGGAAUAUUAAACUGACCUCUGUCAAUGUGUGAAGUGGAAGAUUUCAAAAGAUGGUUGUGUUUCGAGAAGUCUGCAAUUAUCCCGUUGCGUUCAUGAUUUCAAAUCUGUACAUUUUAGCAUGCAGUGAGAGUUUGCCAGGGAUUCAUCUGGGACUGCACAAGCCAACGUGUCUGAUAGCAACAAAAUUGGCACAGAGGUGGGAAAAGGCGAGUCCAAAGCUGACAAGUUGCCAGAGGCUUUCGCUUACGCUUACACUUGCCGUCACAGGAACGACGUCUCUCUCUUUCUGCCCUGCAAGACUUUGAAGGUGGAGAACGAUGUCAUGGCAUAACCCGCAGGCAGCAUCCUUGUGAAAACAAACACUUUAUCCAGCUAGCGCAAGCUUACAAAUAUUUAAUAAAGACAAGGACAUUUGCCCAUCCAUCCAUCUUCUCCACCGCUUAUCCUCAUUAAGGUCAUGAGUGAGCUGCAAACUAUCCUGAGUGACUUUGAGGGGACACUCGCCAUUCGUUGAUGGUCAGUCACACAGCUUACUUACAAAUAAGUAAAUUCUUCAUUAAAAUAAUAACAAUAAAUUAGCUAGCA
Syngnathus acus (greater pipefish) is the source of this 803-nucleotide long non-coding RNA. RefSeq lists it as uncharacterized. The record is from RefSeq and is a predicted model, not a curated record. The transcript is spliced from 2 exons. Lineage: Eukaryota; Metazoa; Chordata; Actinopteri; Syngnathiformes; Syngnathidae.